GCCUGGCUGGCUCAGUUGGUAGAGCAUAUGACUCUUGAUCUCGGGGUUGUGAGUUCCAGCCCCAUGUUGGGUG
This is a non-coding RNA of Canis lupus familiaris (dog), 73 nucleotides long. The record is from Rfam. Lineage: Eukaryota; Metazoa; Chordata; Mammalia; Carnivora; Canidae.